This 72-nucleotide transfer RNA is filed under the name Methanocaldococcus sp. RNAcentral describes it as "tRNA-Arg". It matches the Rfam family "tRNA". Rfam says of the family: Transfer RNA (tRNA) molecules are approximately 80 nucleotides in length. Their secondary structure includes four short double-helical elements and three loops (D, anti-codon, and T loops). RNAcentral also lists the same sequence under 4 other names. The record is from RNAcentral. Lineage: Archaea; Methanobacteriati; Methanobacteriota; Methanococci; Methanococcales; Methanocaldococcaceae.
GCCCCGGUGGGGUAGCGGAUAUCCUUUGACACUGCGGAUGUCAAGACCCGGGUUCGAAUCCCGGCCGGGGCG